This 406-nucleotide ribosomal RNA is filed under the name uncultured bacterium. Its description in RNAcentral is "partial 16S ribosomal RNA". It matches the Rfam family "Bacterial small subunit ribosomal RNA", at positions 28 to 526 of the family's 1533-position model. The record is from RNAcentral.
GAUGAACGCUAGCUACAGGCUUAACACAUGCAAGUCGAGGGACCGGCGCACGGGUGAGUAACACGUAUCCAACCUGCCCUUUACUCGGGGAUAGCCUUUCGAAGGAAAGAUUAAUACCCGAUAUAAAGGAUGGGGAUGCGUUCCAUUAGGUUGUUGGUGAGGUAACGGCUCACCAAGCCUUCGAUGGAUAGGGGUUCUGAGAGGAAGGCCCACUACAGUGGAACUGAGACACAGUCUAAAAUCCUACGGGAGGCAGCAGUGUGGAAGAUUGGUCAAUCGGCGCUAGCCUGAACCAGCCAAGUAGCUUGAAGGAUGAAGGCUUAGGGGACUUAAACUUCUUGUAUAUAAGAAUAGGUAUUAUAUGAAUAAGGACCGGCUAACUCCGUGCCAGCAGCCGCGGUAAUAC